RNAcentral lists this ribosomal RNA (594 nucleotides) under Triticum aestivum (bread wheat). RNAcentral describes it as "partial small subunit ribosomal RNA". The record is from RNAcentral. Lineage: Eukaryota; Viridiplantae; Streptophyta; Magnoliopsida; Poales; Poaceae.
AUGGAGCUUCACCGGACACCGUGGUGCUGCGUUGGAGCUCUUAGCGCACUGUUGAGAGCCGCAAUGGAGCUUCGUGGGGAUGUCAUCGGUGCUGCGUGGAAGUUUUUUCAUUCGUCGUCGCGGAACGCUCCUCCGCCGACCCGCGCAAGUUCCCCGAUGCUAAGGUACCUCGAGGAGUUCGCGCGGUGGUUCAACCCCCUCAGGCUGGUCCGGUUCGAGACGGAGGUGGUGAGCGUCCGCCGCAGCAGGGACGACGACGCGGGAUGGAGGGUGAGGCUCGCCUGCGCUGGUAGCGAGCUGGAGGAGGAGGUUAGUAAGCAGCAUCAGGAGGAGGAGCUUCCUCACUCCGCCCCGAAUCUACGGCUGCCCCCGCUAGCCAUGGACUCCGUCCUAGGGUUUCCGCCGCCGCCGCCGGAGAGGGGAGGAGAGGAGUGUAGAAGGACCAGAGCGAGAUGGCCGGAUGGCUCCUCGGGCAGCUCCUUGUCAUGGGUAGCGCCGUCGUCGGCAGGGCCGUGGUGCAGGCCUACCGCCAGACCAUCGUCACUGAGGAACAUCCUGUUGGCUACUUCCAAGCAUGAUGUGUACGUGAUGUAG